UAGCUGGUUCCCUCCGAAGUUUCCCUCA
RNAcentral lists this non-coding RNA (28 nucleotides) under Arabidopsis thaliana (thale cress). The record is from RNAcentral. RNAcentral also lists the same sequence under 6 other names. Lineage: Eukaryota; Viridiplantae; Streptophyta; Magnoliopsida; Brassicales; Brassicaceae.